CCUACGGGUGGCAGCAGUGAGGAAUAUUGGUCAAUGGGCGGAAGCCUGAACCAGCCAAGUAGCGUGCAGGAUGACGGCCCUACGGGUUGUAAACUGCUUUUAUACGGGAAUAACGCGCCUUACGUGUAGGGCUUUGCAUGUACCGUAUGAAUAAGGACCGGCUAAUUCCGGGCCAGCAGCCGCGGUAAUACGGAAGGUCCGGGCGUUAUCCGGAUGUAUUGGGUUUAAAGGGAGCGUAGGCCGCAUGUCAAGCGUGCUGUGAAAUGUCCGGGCUCAACCCGGGCCUUGCAGCGCGAACUGGCGUGCUUGAGUCCGCGGAAAGCAGGCGGAAUUCGUCGUGUAGCGGUGAAAUGCUUAGAUAUGACGAAGAACCCCGAUUGCGAAGGCAGCUUGCCGGCGCUCAACUGACGCUGAGGCACGAAAGUGCGGGUAUCGAACAGGAUUAGAUACCCCAGUAGUC
This 460-nucleotide ribosomal RNA is filed under the name uncultured bacterium. Its description in RNAcentral is "partial 16S ribosomal RNA". It matches the Rfam family "Bacterial small subunit ribosomal RNA", at positions 338 to 795 of the family's 1533-position model. The record is from RNAcentral.